This 351-nucleotide ribosomal RNA is filed under the name Enterobacter ludwigii. RNAcentral's name for it is "bacterial SSU rRNA". It matches the Rfam family "Bacterial small subunit ribosomal RNA", at positions 96 to 450 of the family's 1533-position model. The record is from RNAcentral. Lineage: Bacteria; Pseudomonadati; Pseudomonadota; Gammaproteobacteria; Enterobacterales; Enterobacteriaceae.
UGGCGGACGGGUGAGUAAUGUCUGGGAAACUGCCUGAUGGAGGGGGAUAACUACUGGAAACGGUAGCUAAUACCGCAUAACGUCGCAAGACCAAAGAGGGGGACCUUCGGGCCUCUUGCCAUCAGAUGUGCCCAGAUGGGAUUAGCUAGUAGGUGGGGUAACGGCUCACCUAGGCGACGAUCCCUAGCUGGUCUGAGAGGAUGACCAGCCACACUGGAACUGAGACACGGUCCGGACUCCUACGGGAGGCAGCAGUGGGGAAUAUUGCACAAUGGGCGCAAGCCUGAUGCAGCCAUGCCGCGUGUAUGAAGAAGGCCUUCGGGUUGUAAAGUACUUUCAGCGGGGAGGAAG